GUGCUUGCUGUGGUAGCACAUGUGCUAAAUUUAGAACAAAACAGAGAUUAGCAUGGCCCCUGCACAAGGAUGACACACACAUUCAUGAAGCAUUCCAUAUUUUA
Small nuclear RNA from Oryctolagus cuniculus (rabbit), 104 nucleotides. The record is from Ensembl. Lineage: Eukaryota; Metazoa; Chordata; Mammalia; Lagomorpha; Leporidae.